UGUCCUACGGGGCGCAGCAGUGGGGGAUAUUGCACAAUGGAGGAAACUCUGAUGCAGCGACGCCGCGUGAGGGAAGACGGUCUUCGGAUUGUAAACCUCUGUCUUUGGGGAGGAAAAUGACGGUACCCAAAGAGGAAGCUCCGGCUAACUACGUGCCAGCAGCCGCGGUAAUACGUAGGGAGCGAGCGUUGUCCGGAAUGAUUGGGCGUAAAGGGUGCGCAGGCGGUCCUGCAAGUCUGGAGUGAAACGCAUGAGCUCAACUCAUGCAUGGCUUUGGAAAC
Molecule: ribosomal RNA, 281 nt
Filed under: uncultured bacterium
Lineage: Bacteria
Description: partial 16S ribosomal RNA
Rfam family: Bacterial small subunit ribosomal RNA
Source: RNAcentral